AACCUAGAUGUACCUUUACACACACAUCCGCCCGGGUACUACGAGCACAGCUUAAAACCCAAAGGACUUGGCGGUGUCUCAGACCCACCUAGAGGAGCCUGUUCUAGAACCGAUAACCCCCGUUAAACCUCACCACUUCUUGUUUUCCCCGCCUAUAUACCGCCGUCGUCAGCUUACCCUGUGAAGGUCCAACAGUAAGCAAAAUGGGCUAGCCCAAAAACGUCAGGUCGAGGUGUAGCGCACGAAGUGGGAAGAAAUGGGCUACAUUUUCUACAAUAGAAUAUUACGAAUGGCACCCUGAAACAAGUGCCUGAAGGUGGAUUUAGUAGUAAAAAGCAAAUAGAGUGUACUUUUGAAUUAGGCUCUGAGACGCGCACACACCGCCCGUCACUCUCCCCUCAUAUAUUAAACUUAAACCCAACAUUCCUAAUUAAAUAUUUACCAAUACGGGGAGGCAAGUCGUAACAUGGUAAGUGUACCGGAAGGUGCACUUGGAAUAACCA
RNAcentral lists this ribosomal RNA (503 nucleotides) under Pangasianodon gigas (Mekong giant catfish). RNAcentral's name for it is "partial 12S ribosomal RNA". It matches the Rfam family "Bacterial small subunit ribosomal RNA", at positions 801 to 1533 of the family's 1533-position model. The record is from RNAcentral. Lineage: Eukaryota; Metazoa; Chordata; Actinopteri; Siluriformes; Pangasiidae.